The sequence is a small nucleolar RNA, 203 nucleotides long. It matches the Rfam family "Small nucleolar RNA snR31".
AAACCAUCAAUCAACCAUGUGUUCCACUGAUGUCACCGUAGCUUCUUUCCAAUGGCUCGGUUUGAUAUUCGUUGGUAAUAAUCAUACGAUGCAUGGGAGAAAGAUGGUUUAAGAUGUAUCUCCAGCUAUUGAAAAUGACCGGAAGCCUUUUUCUUUCGGUCGCUCAAAAUCUGAUAUAGUUGGUCAUGAUUCUUGCAACAGAU